AUUGAAUAAUAAAUAAAAUAGAAUAAAAAGUUGGGAUUUCAGAAGGCCAGUGUUUAGACAAAAGUAGUGGAUUUCCUUGUGCUGUAGUAUAGCCUCUGUGCCAGUGCAGAACUGUUUUCUUGAAGUUCCUUUCUACCUAUUGUGGCAUUAGAAUGUGUGACAAUAGAAUGGAGCAAUGCCCUGAUUCACAGUCUCCAAGCCACUGGCCUUGAUCUCUCAUCUGAGAGAUGAGAGCCUUCCAUCUGCAUGGACUCAGCCUUUAGCAAACCAUAAACAGGACCGUGCUUGAAUCCCAUUGCAUAUAUGGUCAAGAUGUUUGCCCUGAAAAGCACAGAAGAGCUGGAAGCAAGCAGAUAAAAUUAAACCUGGUGGCCAAGGAGCAAGGCUGCCAGUGUGGGAAAAAGGCCUGAGCUACCCCCUGCCCUCAGUCUCCACUGCAAAGUGGUUGAUGACCUGCUUCCCCACAGGUGCUACGUGAAUGGCAUGAAAUACAUGAAUACAUGUCAGCUGUGUGUUACGUUUGAGAAUGUUGGUUCUGGUACUUUAAAACUGAUGUAUGGAAAAUGCAGUCUUCAUCUUCUGUAGCUCCCUGUUAGGCUUUACAAUCAUAGGUUUGUUUUGAAAAACAGCCUAUUUACUGACUUAUUUUGUGACUUUUUAACUUAUUUAUUCUAAUUAAGUGCUGUGGAAAGAAAAGUUCUGUUUAAAAAUGAUUUCAAAAUUGCUUGCGUACCACUGGUAGAAUUUUGUACAUAAAAGAGCACCUUUAGAAAAAGCAAAAGCAAAACCCAACCUAAAUCCAUCUCCAAAGCUCCAAAUGAUGACAGGGAAGGUCUGUGGAUCAUGAAUAUGUUGCAAACUGAGAACUGUGUGUUAACUCUGUCUGGGUUAGUUCUGAGCUGAGCACUGUAUUUGUGCUUCCCAACAGGUCCCCU
This 935-nucleotide long non-coding RNA is filed under the name Phasianus colchicus (ring-necked pheasant). Its description in RNAcentral is "lncRNA (ENSPCLG00000001701.1)". Lineage: Eukaryota; Metazoa; Chordata; Aves; Galliformes; Phasianidae. The record is from RNAcentral.